UGAUUGUCUUGGGUACUAAGGUCAAAGUC
Molecule: non-coding RNA, 29 nt
Filed under: Rattus norvegicus (Norway rat)
Lineage: Eukaryota; Metazoa; Chordata; Mammalia; Rodentia; Muridae
Source: RNAcentral